RNAcentral lists this unclassified non-coding RNA (221 nucleotides) under Hevea brasiliensis (rubber tree). Lineage: Eukaryota; Viridiplantae; Streptophyta; Magnoliopsida; Malpighiales; Euphorbiaceae. The record is from RNAcentral.
AAUAAUAGAAUUAUCUCGACUUGCUGCUAUUUUUUUAGAUAAAAUUAAUUGAAAGACAUGAGUAGCUCAUUUGAUAUUUUGAUGUAACAAAAAAUUUUAAUGAUUUCCUAAUUAUUCAAAAUUAUUUUUUUGAGACUUAUUACUCUUUACUAUACCGUUACUUAUGUUUCAAAUUUUGAUGGUGAUUGAAAAGCUUAACACGUGUGUGUGUGUGUGUGUGU